AACCCAAAUUAAUAAAUACCGGCGUAAAGCGUGUUUAAGUAACAUAUUAAAAUAAAGUUAAUAAUUAACUAAACUGUAGCACGUUCUAGUUAAUAUUAAAAUACAUAAUAAAAAUGACUUUAAUAUCACCGACUACACGACAACUAAGACACAAACUGGGAUUAGAUACCCCACUAUGCUUAGUAAUAAACUAAAAUAAUUUAACAAACAAAAUUAUUCGCCAGAGAACUACUAGCCAUUGCUUAAAACUCAAAGGACUUGGCGGUGCCCUAAACCCACCUAGAGGAGCCUGUUCUAUAAUCGAUAAACCCCGAUAAACCCGACCUUAUCUUGCCAAUA
This 339-nucleotide ribosomal RNA is filed under the name Philander opossum (gray four-eyed opossum). RNAcentral's name for it is "partial 12S ribosomal RNA". Lineage: Eukaryota; Metazoa; Chordata; Mammalia; Didelphimorphia; Didelphidae. The record is from RNAcentral.